This 393-nucleotide ribosomal RNA is filed under the name uncultured bacterium. RNAcentral describes it as "partial 16S ribosomal RNA". It matches the Rfam family "Bacterial small subunit ribosomal RNA", at positions 523 to 918 of the family's 1533-position model. The record is from RNAcentral.
AUACGAGGGGUGCAAGCGUUGUUCGGAAUUACUGGGCGUAAAGGGAGCGUAGGCGGAGAUUCAAGCGGAUUGUACAAUCCCGGGGCCCAACCCCGGCUCUGCAGUCCGAACUGGAUCUCUUGGAUAGUUCAGGGGCAGGCGGAAUUCCUGGUGUAGCGGUGGAAUGCGUAGAGAUCAGGAAGAACACCGAUGGCGAAGGCAGCCUGCUGGGGACUUAUCGACGCUGAGGCUCGAAAGUGCGGGUAGCAAACAGGAUUAGAUACCCUGGUAGUCCGCACCGUAAACGAUGCAUACUGGGUGUCCGGGGGUUCCCCCGGGUACCGUAGCCAACGCGUUAAGUAUGCCGCCUGGGGAGUACGUACGCAAGGUUGAAACUCAAAUGAAUUGACGGGG